Molecule: ribosomal RNA, 464 nt
Filed under: uncultured bacterium
Lineage: Bacteria
Description: partial 16S ribosomal RNA
Rfam family: Bacterial small subunit ribosomal RNA
Source: RNAcentral
GACGAACGCUGGCGGCGUGCUUAACACAUGCAAGUCGAACGGUAAGGCCCUAGCUUGUUGGGGUUCACGAGUGGCGAACGGGUGAGUAACACGUGGGCGACCUGCUCUGCACUUCGGGAUAAGCCUGGGAAACUGGGCUUACUAUCGGACAGGAUCGCACCGAGAGGGUGAGGCGGAAAGUCUUCCGGUGUGGGCUGGGCCCGUGGGCUAUCAGCUUGUUGGCGGGGUAAUGGCCUACCAGGGCGGCGACGGGUCGCCGGCAUGAGAGGGUGGACGGCCACCAGGGGACUGAGACACGGCCCAGAGUCCUACGGGAGGCAGCAGUGGGGAAUAUUGCACAAUGGGCGCGAGCCGGAUGCAGCGACGCCGCGUGGGGGAUGACGGCCUUCGGGUUGUGAACUCCUGUCGCCAUCGACGAAGGUUUUCUGACGGUAGAUGGAGAAGAAGCACCGGCUAACUACGUG